CGGGGUGUAGCGCAGCCUGGUAGCGUACUUGCUUCGGGAGCAAGGGGUCGGAGGUUCAACUCCUCUCACCCCGACCA
Molecule: transfer RNA, 77 nt
Filed under: Candidatus Lambdaproteobacteria bacterium RIFOXYD12_FULL_49_8
Lineage: Bacteria; Pseudomonadati; Pseudomonadota; Candidatus Lambdaproteobacteria
Also listed under: 1 other name
Description: tRNA-Pro
Rfam family: tRNA
About the family: Transfer RNA (tRNA) molecules are approximately 80 nucleotides in length. Their secondary structure includes four short double-helical elements and three loops (D, anti-codon, and T loops). Further hydrogen bonds mediate the characteristic L-shaped molecular structure. tRNAs have two regions of fundamental functional importance: the anti-codon, which is responsible for specific mRNA codon recognition, and the 3' end, to which the tRNAs corresponding amino acid is attached (by aminoacyl-tRNA synthetases). tRNAs cope with the degeneracy of the genetic code in two manners: having more than one tRNA (with a specific anti-codon) for a particular amino acid; and 'wobble' base-pairing, i.e. permitting non-standard base-pairing at the 3rd anti-codon position.
Source: RNAcentral